Molecule: long non-coding RNA, 1137 nt
Organism: Bufo bufo (common toad)
Lineage: Eukaryota; Metazoa; Chordata; Amphibia; Anura; Bufonidae
Exons: 2
Source: RefSeq, a predicted model, not a curated record
UAAUAACACAUGGUACUGAACACAACUGCUAAAAACAUAAAAUAAAUUUACAUACACCCAGCCCAAAGGCUGAGACCCCUGUGUCGCACAGCACGGCACCCUCUGAUAGAUGCCGGAGGAAAUUUUGCGGUAAUUUACCUACUGGCGGGCACAACAAAAACUGCCUCGCCGUACCCAUUAUUACUCUGAAGCAAACACAAACAAUUGUUUGGGUGCUUAUAAUGGGCUAGCCUGCGGUGCAACACAGCAGUUUACAAUCUUACCGUGCUCUAUAGUAUUCCCCCUUCCCAUAACUAGUCUGGUGGCAUGUGCCCGAUUAUUAUUCCUGAGAAAAACGCUGAACUGGAUGGAGUUCGUGGGGGUGUUCAUCAUCUCUCAAAUGUGCAAUGUCCCUUUAAGUAAUGGAGUCCUUGUAGUAACAGUAGCAACACUUUAGGCCCGACACAAAGCAGAGACCCUAACUAGCUAACUACAGGCCUUGUCUCAGUCUCCAGGUGCCAACUCUGCAAUGAGGUGCAUGCACAAUCUUACUGUCCCGGGUCUGCUCUUUAGCCGCUGAUGACUCUGAACCGAACAACCAGUCUCUCCAGCAAACAUGAGGUCCUGCAGGGUAUGUGUAACACCCCACAAGGGGGCAUUACCACUCUUUUUACCCCUUUGCUAUCCUAAUGGUGUAUCCUGUGUCAUCAUGUGUAACUAUUUUCAGGUCCUUCAUAAUGUGUAUGUAUUUCCUAUACAUUUCUGGCCGAGCUGUGUUAGACCGAAUGGAACCCUCGUUCCAUUCUAUCCCCCUCUCUAGAGGGAGGAGUUUUAGUUAGGGAGAGGCAGUCUAGCCUUCCUCUCCUUGGUGAGAGGUCGAGUUCCAGCUUGUCCCCUGCUGGGGAGGGAAGCAGGCCUUGUCCUGCCUCGAUAGGCCCUGCCUGUGAGUUCUAAAUGAAAGCUUGAAGUCAGGAAGAAAGAUGCCCUGAAUAAAGAUAAAGACAAAGAUACAGAGCAAGAUAAAGAAUCAGACUACAGAAAGCCAAGUUGCAGCCUACAGCAGAAAAAGGAAAAGUUCCUAUUUCAUCCAGCCAGCAUAGCAGAGCUGAGAGAGUUCAGAUGUAGCAGAGCUGAAAUUGUUUGACUGCCAAAAGUUAA